RNAcentral lists this ribosomal RNA (365 nucleotides) under uncultured eukaryote. RNAcentral describes it as "partial 18S ribosomal RNA". It matches the Rfam family "Eukaryotic small subunit ribosomal RNA", at positions 592 to 976 of the family's 1831-position model. The record is from RNAcentral.
CAAUAGCGUAUAUUUAAGUUGUUGCAGUUGAAAAGCUCGUAGUCGGAUUUUGGCUGAGAACGAUCGGUCCGCCGUUAGGUGUGCACUGAUUGGUCUCAGCUUCCUGGUGAGGAGGUGUGCUUCACGGCCACUUAGUCACCGUGGUUACUUUGAAAAAAUUAGAGUGUUCAAAGCGGGCUUACGCUUGAAUAUAUUAGCAUGGAAUAACACCAUAGGACUCCUGUCCUAUUUCGUUGGUCUCGGGACGGGAGUAAUGAUUAAGAGGAACAGUUGGGGACAUUCGUAUUUCAUUGUCAGAGGUGAAAUUCUUGGAUUUAUGAAAGACGAGCUUCUGCGAAAGCAUUUGCCAAGGAUGUUUUCAUUGA